RNAcentral lists this ribosomal RNA (418 nucleotides) under uncultured eukaryote. RNAcentral's name for it is "partial 18S ribosomal RNA". It matches the Rfam family "Eukaryotic small subunit ribosomal RNA", at positions 592 to 976 of the family's 1831-position model. The record is from RNAcentral.
CAGUAGCGUAUAUUAAAGCUGUUGCGGUUAAAAAGCUCGUAGUUGGAUAUCAGUGCGUGUCCGGUCCGGUAUGCCCGGCGGCGGCGCUCGCGCGUCACUGCCGGGCUCCCAAAUAUCGGCUGGCCGCAUUCAAUCGUGCCGGAUCCGUCGACGGGCCGUUCUACGGAGGGGCCUGUUGGCGACCGGCGACGUUACCUUGAACAAAUUAGAGUGCUCAAAGCAGGCUCUGAAUGCCUGGAUACAUAUUCAUGGAAUUGGAGAAUACGUCCCUGGCUCGAUUUGGUUGGUUUUGAGAGUCGAAGGGAAAUGAUUAAUAGGGACUGACGGAGGCAUUCGUAUUGCGACGCGAGGGGUGAAAUCCUGUGACCGUCGCACGACGAACUACUGCGAAAGCAUUUGCCGAGAAUGUUUUCAUUAG